RNAcentral lists this unclassified non-coding RNA (338 nucleotides) under soil metagenome. RNAcentral's name for it is "partial contains 5.8S ribosomal RNA, internal transcribed spacer 2, and large subunit ribosomal RNA". The stretch from base 1 to 120 matches the Rfam family "5.8S ribosomal RNA", at positions 35 to 154 of the family's 154-position model. The record is from RNAcentral.
GAUGAAGAACGCAGCGAAAUGCGAUAAGUAAUGUGAAUUGCAGAAUUCAGUGAAUCGUCGAAUCUUUGAACGCACAUUGCGCCCGGCAGUACUCUGCCGGGCAUGCCUGUUCGAGCGUCAUUUCAACCCUCAAGCCCUGCUUGGUGUUGGGGUCCCACGGCCGCCGUGGGCCCUGAAAGGAAGUGGCGGGCUCGCUACAACUCCGAGCGUAGUAAUUCAUUAUCUCGCUUAGGGCGUUGGGCGGCGCUCCUGCCGUUAAAGAACCAUCUUUAACUCAAGGUUGACCUCGGAUCAGGUAGGAAUACCCGCUGAACUUAAGCAUAUCAAUAAGCGGAGGA